RNAcentral lists this ribosomal RNA (273 nucleotides) under uncultured bacterium. RNAcentral's name for it is "partial 16S ribosomal RNA". It matches the Rfam family "Bacterial small subunit ribosomal RNA", at positions 524 to 796 of the family's 1533-position model. The record is from RNAcentral.
UACGGAGGGUGCGAGAGUUAAUCGGAAUUACUGGGCGUAAAGCGUGCGCAGGCGGAUUGUUAAGCAAGAUGUGAAAUCCCCGGGCUUAACCUGGGAAUGGCAUUUUGAACUGGCAGUCUAGAGUGUGUCAGAGGGGGGUGGAAUUCCACGUGUAGCAGUGAAAGGCGUAGAUAUGUGGAGGAACACCAAUGGCGAAGGCAGCCCCCUGGGAUAACACUGACGCGCAUUUACGAAAGCGUGGGUAGCAAACAGUAGGAGAUACCCGUGUAGUCC